Molecule: transfer RNA, 69 nt
Filed under: Yangisunda tiani
Lineage: Eukaryota; Metazoa; Arthropoda; Insecta; Hemiptera; Cicadellidae
Also listed under: 1 other name
Description: tRNA-Gln
Source: RNAcentral
UGUAAAUAGAUGUAUGAAGCAUAAGGAUUUUUGAUUUCUUAAGAUUAAGUUUAAUUCUUAAAUUUACAG